Long non-coding RNA from Mizuhopecten yessoensis (Yesso scallop), 165 nucleotides. RefSeq lists it as uncharacterized. NCBI's taxonomy places the organism in Eukaryota, Metazoa, Mollusca, Bivalvia, Pectinida, Pectinidae. The transcript is spliced from 2 exons. The record is from RefSeq and is a predicted model, not a curated record.
CUUCUUCAGAGAUACAACGGCAGGUGCAUCGGCCUCCCUCUUCUUCAGAGAUACAACGGCAGGUGCGUCAGCUUCCCUCUUCUUCAGAGAUACAACGGCAGGGGCGUCUGCUUCCCUCUUCUUUUGAGAUACAACGGCAGGUGCAUCGGCUUCCCUCUUCUUCAG